Molecule: ribosomal RNA, 305 nt
Filed under: uncultured bacterium
Lineage: Bacteria
Description: bacterial SSU rRNA
Rfam family: Bacterial small subunit ribosomal RNA
Source: RNAcentral
UGUUCCUACGGGACGCAGCAGUGGGGAAUAUUGCACAAUGGGGGGAACCCUGAUGCAGCGACGCCGCGUGAGUGAAGAAGUAUUUCGGUAUGUAAAGCUCUAUCAGCAGGGAAGAUAAUGACGGUACCUGACUAAGAAGCCCCGGCUAACUACGUGCCAGCAGCCGCGGUAAUACGUAGGGGGCAAGCGUUAUCCGGAUUUACUGGGUGUAAAGGGAGCGUAGACGGCGAUGCAAGCCAGAUGUGAGAGCCCGCGGCUCAACUGCGGUAGUGCAUUUGGAACUGUAUGGCUGGAGUGCAGGAGCG